UGUCACAGAGACCUCAUCCCAACACAUGGCA
RNAcentral lists this non-coding RNA (31 nucleotides) under Mus musculus (house mouse). Lineage: Eukaryota; Metazoa; Chordata; Mammalia; Rodentia; Muridae. The record is from RNAcentral.